This is a long non-coding RNA of Myotis davidii, 154 nucleotides long. RefSeq lists it as uncharacterized. The record is from RefSeq and is a predicted model, not a curated record. The transcript is spliced from 2 exons. NCBI's taxonomy places the organism in Eukaryota, Metazoa, Chordata, Mammalia, Chiroptera, Vespertilionidae.
AGCUGAAUACCUCAGCUCAUGUCCCCGCCCCUCACCCAACCACAGUAUAAAAAAAUGCCCACCUCCCUGUCGGCGUGAAUCCACAUGCCCUGUCUUUGGGGGUACGUGUGUCUCCCGGGGACGCAGAAUAAACUUUCCUUCCUUUCUUCCUUCU